AUGGCUGCUCCAAGUGUAUAGGAAGUUCUACCACCAUCUCUGGAUUCUACUUCUCAACCCCCGUCUCUCUUUGAUGGAACUACCAGGUUGUAUAUCAGUUAUCAAUGCCCCUAUGCUCAACGUGUGUGGAUUACCAGGAAUGUUAAGGGCUUGCAAGACAAGAUCAACUUAGUUCCAAUUGAUCUUCAGAACAGGCCUGAUUGGUACAAGGAAAAAGUUUACCCCCCAAAUAAGGUGCCAUCCCUGGAGCACAACAACAAAGUGAUAGGAGAGAGUUUGGAUCUGGUUAAAUAUAUUGAUAGCAACUUUGAAGGACCAUCACUUUUGCCGGAUGAUCCUGAAAAGCAGAAAUUUGCUGAAGAAUUGAUAGCUUAUAGUGAUACAUUCGUCCCGGAAAUAUAUAGAUCGUUCAUGAGAGAUGCACAGACAUUGGCUGGUGCACAAUUCGAUUACCUAGAAAAAGCUCUCGGCAAAUUUGACGAUGGACCUUUCUUCCUCGGUCAAUUCAGUCAGGUUGACAUAGCAUAUGUUCCAUUUAUCGAAAGGUUUCAAAUUUUCAUACCAGCGGGGUUUAACUAUGACAUUACAUCCGGGAGGCCUAAACUAGCCAAAUGGAUUGAGGAAAUGGACAAGCUUGACGGAUACAAGCAAACAAAGGUCUUGGAACCGGAGAAACUGGUUGAAUACUACAAGAACCUCUUUCUGAAGGCUUGAAACUUCAAAAAUGCAUUGAUCAAUCACUGGUGAAAGUUACAUGGGAUAGUUCUUUGGUAUCAAAUAUGCUGUGGAAUUCUAUAAUGUUAUGCAUCAGUAAUAAAUUGUCUCUAUGUUUUUCUUCAUCUGUAGUGUUUGGUAUUUGUAUUUUCCUAUUAGAGAGACUUGUAUUAUCAUUAGAUGUAACUUUCAUGUAUCUGUAAUUUCACGGAUGGUCAUUCAACUUUUAUUUUUCGAUUUUA
Molecule: RNA transcript, 956 nt
Organism: Solanum tuberosum (potato)
Lineage: Eukaryota; Viridiplantae; Streptophyta; Magnoliopsida; Solanales; Solanaceae
Gene name: protein IN2-1 homolog B-like
Exons: 10
Source: RefSeq, a predicted model, not a curated record